This 301-nucleotide ribosomal RNA is filed under the name uncultured bacterium. RNAcentral's name for it is "partial 16S ribosomal RNA". It matches the Rfam family "Bacterial small subunit ribosomal RNA", at positions 509 to 809 of the family's 1533-position model. The record is from RNAcentral.
CAGCAGCCGCGGUAAUACGUAGGUGGCGAGCGUUGUCCGGAUUUAUUGGGCGUAAAGGGAGUGUAGGCGGUCUUUUAGGUCUGAUGUGAAAGCCCACGGCUCAACCGUGGAGGGUCAUUGGAAACUGGGAGACUUGAGUGCAGAAGAGGAGAGCGGAAUUCCAUGUGUAGCGGUGAAAUGCGUAGAUAUAUGGAGGAACACCAGUGGCGAAGGCGGCUCUCUGGUCUGUAACUGACGCUGAGGCUCGAAAGCGUGGGGAGCAAACAGGAUUAGAUACCCGUGUAGUCCCUGUCUCUUAUAA